UUUUAAGCUGGAAGACAUCGUAAACGCUGGCAGGGAGGAUGCAGUGGAGCAGGAGGGGCAGAACACUCUGCACUGAGGAUCUGUCCGUCCCCUGGAGAUGAGCAGAGAAGCUGGGACAACAGAGGAGAAGGAGGAAUGCUUCUGUAGGCACUGAGAGAAGGAAGAAAAAGUUGGAAAAGAUGUUUGUGCUAAAGAUCUGGGUUUAUUUAGAAUUACUGCCCUUCCCAACUCACAUACAUGAGCAUGUGAACUUUUAAAGUUGACAUAGUUGAGAAAGCAUCACUUUA
Phyllostomus discolor (pale spear-nosed bat) is the source of this 287-nucleotide long non-coding RNA. RefSeq lists it as uncharacterized. The transcript has 2 exons. The record is from RefSeq and is a predicted model, not a curated record. Lineage: Eukaryota; Metazoa; Chordata; Mammalia; Chiroptera; Phyllostomidae.